CCUACGGGUGGCAGCAGUGGGGAAUAUUGCACAAUGGGGGAAACCCUGAUGCAGCGACGCCGCGUGAGGGAAGAAGUAUUUCGGUUUGUUAACUUCUAUCUGCACGGGAGAAAAUGACGGUACUUGACUAAGAAGCCCCGGCUAACUCCGUGCCAGCAGCCGCGGUAAUCCGUCGGGGGCCAGCGUUAUCCGGAUUUCCUGGGUGUAAAGGGAGCGUAGGCGGCGCAUAAAGUCAGUAGGGAAAGGCGCGGGCACAACCCGGGGACUGCUUGUGAAACUGGAAACCUAGAUUGCAGGAGAGGUAAGUGGAAUUCGUAGUGUAGCGGUGAAAUGCGUAGAUAUUAGGAGGAACACCAGUGGCGAAGGCGGCUUACUGGACUGUAAAUGACGCUGAGGCUCGAAAGCGUGGGGAGCAAACAGGAUUAGAUACCCCGGUAGUC
Molecule: ribosomal RNA, 440 nt
Filed under: uncultured bacterium
Lineage: Bacteria
Description: partial 16S ribosomal RNA
Rfam family: Bacterial small subunit ribosomal RNA
Source: RNAcentral